UGGAGCGCUCCGUCGGAAACUGGUCUUCAAACAGCCUGUGUCCGUUUUUGUUUCUGGAAGGCACUUCUAGACGAACCUGGGUGAUCAGCUCAUCUUCCCUUUAGCCAUAUUCUCUGAUUUCCAAGUGGUCAAGGAACCAGGGAGUUAUUUCACUGGACCUGUGUCCCAGCUGUUUCACAAAAAUAGAGAAGCCAGACACACCCGGAACCCCUUGGAGAAUUGGCACAUUGUAUACGUUUCUCUAAAGCCGUAUCUGUGAGGAAAUCUCUUUCAGUGCGUCCAUCUAGUGCUCAGGUUUAGUUUUUAUUGAGAAGAAGUCAAUCACAGAUCUGACAAAAUUAUAAGCGAAGGCUGAAGAACUCACCCUCGGCGUGAGUCUCCUCCUCGCAGGCAAUUCACUCCUAAGCUUCUGCCUUGGCCUCACCAGCACUGCCCUCGAAGCUGAAAAUCCUGCUGUGCCCUGAUGGUUGAAAAUCUGAAAGCAUCCUUUGCCUCGCCCAAGACAGAAGGAAAUGACAGGAAGAGAAACACUUCACUGACUGGAUGAGUAUGCUGAGGCUCAGAGAGGUCAGUUUUCCUGAGGUCACAGGCUACUACUUGAGGAUUCGGGAUUUGAACCAAGGCCAUCUAGCUCCAGGGUCUGUGCCCCUAGACACACUGCUGUGCCCUCCUUGAGAUGGUAGGCAAAGCUUCUCACCUGUCCAUGGUUUUGUAUUUAGCAGGUGUCAGUUAACUCUAUCUAAAGACGUAUUUUGCUGUCACACCUGGACAGGAGUUAUUGGCUUCUAAUAAGUAGAGAUCAGAGAUGCUGCUCAGCACCCUACGAUGCGCAUCACAGCCCCACAUCAAAGAAUCAUCUGCCCCAAAGUGUCAGUAUUCCUGAGGUUUUGAUGAUGAGAACCUUGAUGAAGAGAAAACACAGGACCCAUGCGUGGGUAUAAGAGACAUGUAAAUAGUAAAGUCUGUCCAUUGUCUGUCUCUGUCUGUUGUCUGUCUCUCAUCCAUCUCUCUAUCUAUAUCCUCCCUCUGCUCUCAGACAACAGCUGAAGGGUCUAGUCUUUUGAAAGGUCCUUUAAAGUAUUCAUUAUUUUGAAAGCCUUUAAUAUGUAUGAAAGAGUUAGAGAGCCAAGUGAGUUACAAGUUAUUGUUCCUUGAAAAUACAGUGUGUACAUGCACACACAUGUGGCUGGCUCCGUUUCAGUUCCUGUGGACUUGCCCUUUGGCUAUGGAAAGUCCACAUCCUUCCCUAAGACCUUGUACCUGGGACUGUGUCCCCAGUUAGCCUUUGAGAAGAAAAGUCCUGGGUCAGGAGAGGUCAUCUGGUGACAAGGUCCUCACAGUUAUUCUAACUGCAUCCACUUUACACUCCACAUCGCCUGAGAAGCCCACUGGUACAUAUAUGCAUUAGUAUCAUAUUAUUGCACUUUCCAUAUCACACUAACACAUGUUACAUAGUCAGCAUUUACACACUGCACAGUACAUUAGUAGGCAAUGCAUGCCACACUAGUACAUACUACAUGUUACAUGAAUACACAUCACAUGUUUCACUGGUAACCCAUUAUAUAUCACAGGAUGAAUGCAUUUCGCAUUACAUGAAAGCACAUUGUGGACUGCAUUAAUAACACAUUUCACGUUAUGCUAAAACCCAGCGCCUCAGCAGUAAAGAAUCCACCUGCAAUGCAGGAGACACCACAGGAGCCAAGAGUUCAAUCCCUGGGUUGGGAAGAUCCCCUCGAGAAGAAAAUGGCAACCCACUCCAGUACUUUCACCUACACUGUCUACUGUACUCUCAUGGGUGGAGGAGCCUGGUGGGCUACAGUCCAUGGGGGUCACAAACAGUGGGAUAUGACUUAGCGACUCAACACCACCGCCCCAUAUUGCAUUCUCCAAUGAUGCAUAUUGCAUAUUACAUUACUGACACCUUCCGUAUCACUUAACACUCUCCAUACUAC
Molecule: non-coding RNA, 1952 nt
Organism: Odocoileus virginianus texanus
Lineage: Eukaryota; Metazoa; Chordata; Mammalia; Artiodactyla; Cervidae
Source: RefSeq, a predicted model, not a curated record